GGGUCAGUAGGUUGGUCGUGCCACCGGUACGUACUGGUCUCACUGAUUCCUCCUUCCUGAAGAACCGUAAUGCCAUUAAUUUGGUGUUGCGGGGAAACAGGACUGUUACUUUGAAAAAAUUAGAGUGUUUAAAGCAGGCUAACGCUUGAAUACAUUAGCAUGGAAUAAUGAAAUAGGACGAUCGAUCCUAUUUUGUUGGUUCCUAGGAUUGACGUA
Molecule: ribosomal RNA, 216 nt
Filed under: Glomeromycotina sp.
Lineage: Eukaryota; Fungi; Glomeromycota
Description: partial small subunit ribosomal RNA
Rfam family: Eukaryotic small subunit ribosomal RNA (bases 40-216)
Source: RNAcentral